Long non-coding RNA from Eubalaena glacialis (North Atlantic right whale), 392 nucleotides. RefSeq lists it as uncharacterized. The record is from RefSeq and is a predicted model, not a curated record. The transcript is spliced from 3 exons. Lineage: Eukaryota; Metazoa; Chordata; Mammalia; Artiodactyla; Balaenidae.
ACAUCAAACUCCGGGCCAGAACACGCGAAGCUAUACUGAAACCGAGCAGGACCCUACAGGGCCUUCCCAGAUACUGAAGCCCCCGCCAGGUGGGAGAAGUUUACUGCAUGCUGCCCACAAGCACGUAGACCCCAGACCAGCUGGAACCAGAAGAUUGAUGAAGUUUAACUCCCAAAAUACCACCAACCAAUACCACUCACCGCCAACCAAUCAGAAGAAUGUCCACAAGCUGAUCAGGCCCCCUACAAUCCUCACCUGUAAUGUGGCCUUUAAAAGCCCUUCCCUGAAAGCCAUCAGGGAGUUCGGGCCUUUUGAGCAUGAGCUGCCCUAUCUUGUUGCUUGACCCCACUUUGGGCGCCUUGCAAUAAACACUAUACUUUCCUUCACCACAA